GGGGGUAUAGUUCAGUGAUAGAACAUUUGCCUAGUAUGUGCAAAGCCCUGGGGUUCAAUCCCUAAUACUGUCA
RNAcentral lists this transfer RNA (73 nucleotides) under Marmota marmota marmota (Alpine marmot). It matches the Rfam family "tRNA". Rfam says of the family: Transfer RNA (tRNA) molecules are approximately 80 nucleotides in length. Their secondary structure includes four short double-helical elements and three loops (D, anti-codon, and T loops). The record is from Rfam by way of RNAcentral. Lineage: Eukaryota; Metazoa; Chordata; Mammalia; Rodentia; Sciuridae. RNAcentral also lists the same sequence under 1 other name.